RNAcentral lists this ribosomal RNA (775 nucleotides) under uncultured Neocallimastigales. Its description in RNAcentral is "partial large subunit ribosomal RNA". It matches the Rfam family "Eukaryotic large subunit ribosomal RNA", at positions 18 to 644 of the family's 3401-position model. The record is from RNAcentral. Lineage: Eukaryota; Fungi; Neocallimastigomycota; Neocallimastigomycetes; Neocallimastigales.
UCAGACGAUGCGUCAUGCAUAUCAAUAAGCGGAGGAAAAGAAACUAACAAGGAUUCCCCUAGUAACGGCGAGUGAAGCGGGAAGAGCUCAAAUUUGAAAUCUUAAAGGGUUUCCCUUUACGAAUUGUAGUUUAAAGAAGUGUUUUCUGUUGAGGUUUUGGUAAAAGUUCUUUGGAAUAGGGACAUCAUAGAGGGUGAGAAUCCCGUAUUUGACCUUUACUUUCAACUUUGUGGAUACACUUUCAAGGAGUCGGAUUGUUUGGGAAUGCAGUCCAAAAUGGGUGGUAAAUUUCAUCUAAAGCUAAAUAUUGGCGAGAGACCGAUAGCGAACAAGUACCGUGAGGGAAAGAUGAAAAGAACUUUGAAAAGAGAGUUAAACAGUACGUGAAAUUGUCAAAAGGGAAGCGUUUGACACCAGUGUUGUUUUCUGAAAAUCAAUUAAAGAACUGUUUAUGCUAAGUUGUUUAGACUUUAUCAGCUAUCUGUUUAGUUUUGAGCUUUUCUUUAAUGCACUUUUCAGUUAACAAGUCAACAUCAAUUUCUUUUGCUGUAAAAAAGCUUGAGGAAGGUGGCUUGAGAUUCGUCUUAAGUGUUUAUAGCCUCUUGCCUAUGCAGUCGGAGAGAUUGAGGUCUGCAGCGUAGAUCCUUCGGGGCUAAAUGCAUUUGUGCUAAGUUAUAGCAUUUUAUAGACAACUUGUUGACUAUGAUUUGUCUUGUAGCUUACUCGCUUAUGUUAUUUUACCUACGCUUAGGAUGUUGAAUCUGUGCGAGACUAC